Molecule: long non-coding RNA, 28902 nt
Filed under: Eucalyptus grandis
Lineage: Eukaryota; Viridiplantae; Streptophyta; Magnoliopsida; Myrtales; Myrtaceae
Description: long non-coding RNA (EGRA_LNC000527)
Source: RNAcentral
GAAGGUCCAACAUUGACAUUUAGGUUGCUCUGUUUUGUUUAACAAGGAAGUACGCAAUGAAAUGGUUAAAAUGCUUGCAUCGUACAGCGAGUCAACCAUUGUUUUAUACAAGUGACUAUUCCUCAAAACAAAUAAUACUUGCAUGGAUUUGCUCACAGUGCUGGAAUUAUGAUGCGUGGAUGUGCCUGUUUGAUGUUAUAUUUUGAACUUUUUUCAUUCCCAAAACUUGUUUAUCUUUCCACUCAUGCAAAUGCACUAUGCUUUGCGUGAGAAUCAUGAAGAAUUGUUGCUUUUAUAUUGAUAUUUUUCUGCAAUUUCAGCGUUUGUUGUAUUUUCUCUUCCAAAUAUCUUCUUUUUUAUGCUCUAGCUCAGUGACCUGAACUAUCUCUACUAUGCUUGUCGGGCAAAACAUCCCACUGUCAUCUUUGCUUGGCAAAAUCUCUCGGUAGGAUCAAAUGCAAACACUGUCAAGUUAGGCAACUAAUGUGCUUACGUUUAUCUUUUGCAACUUUACAAAAAAAAAAACAAAAACAAAACAAAAACAAAAGGCUAUUUAUUUUGGUAGGUGUACUGAUAUGCUCUAAACUUUUUUUUUAGUGACAUGCUCCGAAAGAUUAAUCCAUAUCAUGAUGUCAAUUUUCGAGUUCUAUAUUCAUGGUCAAAUGGAGAAGCUUUUUUACUUAUAACAACAGCAGCUACUGUAACGAUGCAAAAAAUAGGAUUUAAAACAGGUGUUUUCAAGUUGGUGAAUAUUGUUGACACCUAAUUUUUGCCCAAAUUAUUGCAUAUAGAUUAUCUAGGUAUUUAAAAUGGAAGAUGUUUUCCCUAAAAAAAAAUUAAAAAAUUAAAAAAUUAAAAAAUUAAAAAAAAAAGAGAUAAAAGAUAAAAAAAAAGAUUAAAAAGAAAAGAAAAGAAAAAAAGUUGGGGCCAAUGAUCUAAAUGUGACUAGCCAAGCCCAGGAGGUCAUAUUGGAAUUCAAAUGGCAAGUUGGGGCCCAAAUGCAAUUUCCAAAAGUCGAGGGACCAAUUCGUAAAUUUUGCAAAAUUUGCGCCCGAGCCCUUAAUUCAUCAUCUUGGUCAUCAAUUAAGUUGAAAUUGAAUUUGGUCCAAGCAGAAUCAAUCAAAUUGAGCCAAAAAGGACCUAAUUGCAUUGAAUUUGGCAUUUUCGGGCAAGAAAAUGGCCAACUUUGAGGUACUUUCUUGUAAAAUUGGGUGGAGAUAAUUGCGAAAAAUGGUCAAGAUCUUAAACUACUAUACAUGAGCUUUCUAAUUGAUCAAAAAACGCAGCCAAAUUAGUGGAUUAAAGCACUCAAAUCAGCAGCCAAAACUCAGUCCACGAGUUGGUCUUAAUCCGGAGUUGCUGAGUAAGCAAUUUGGUGGCCCCACCAUAUCCUCCUCAGCUGCCCAACCAGCCCGAUAUUUGCACUUGAUGGAAGACCGUAUAUAGUAGUGCAAGUGGACGAAAAUUGGCCAGAGAUAAGCUUCUGACAGCACCGGAAAAUCGCAGCAAAACCUGCACACUCAACAGCUGCAGAAGUUAAAAAAUUGGCUAAGUCAGAAGAGUAGUUGAAGUAGCCCUGUUGACAGGCUUGGUCGGUGGGCAAAAGGCUGACCAAAAAUCCCUUAAUUCGGGGGAUAAGGUCACGGAAGCAAGGUCUUUCGAGAGAGGAGAGAGAGGAGACGAGAGGGAGAGGGGAGAGCUCGGAAUCGUCCCCCAAAGAGGCCCUCAGAAGCAACUCCAGAAAAGAAAACCCAGAAAUUCCAGAUCAACCUUCUGAGAGAAAAGUGAGAUUUUCGCGAACCUGCAGCCAAAAUUAGCCAAAACCUUAAACUAGAGAGUGAAACAUCACUCAAAUAUCUUUCCAUCCAUAGGUCGCACGUCCAAAAUGUAGAUCGGGAAGGCCUCCUAAAGCCCCCCGAAACAGUGCCCUCCUGUCGGGCCAAGAAAGUCCGAAAUUUUUCUAAGUGUCGAGACUGGUUGGUCACGAGUGAGGAAAGCCAGUGUUUUUGAGAAAGUUGAGAGACAAAUGAGGAAAAUAUUGACUUUUAACCCAGACUAGAAUACAUAUAGUUUUUCGUGGUGUCAAUUUUUCCAACAAAAUACGUCUUGAAGUCUAAUGUUAGAGCCCAACGAAAACCUUCGUUGUCAGUUCAUUUUUUUUGCAGAUCUCAUUUCUAGUUGAAGAAGUCAACUUCCACAGGCCCCCCGAGGAUAAUUUGUCGGUUUCAUCGGCCAAGAACCACUUGAAAAAGAAACUAGGAAGAAAGGUAAGCACCCUAGAUGUAUUUAUUUUCGAGUUUGAGCAUGUUUUGAUCAUGAAAAUCAAGAGGAAAACCGGCCCGGAAAACUGAUUUCUGAGGUUGAAAUUUUUCUUAGUGUUUGAAAUCUCUUCAAGAGUGUUGCAUGUGUGCUUCUUGGAGAGGUCUCUUUGAUGUUGUUCGGUGGGUCAUUCUCUGUGAUGUUUAUUGCAUUUGAAAGCUCAUGUUACCUACUUUCAUUCGGAUCAAGUAAUGUUUCCCUUAGAUCUCGUAUGUGAUAGGUGUCGGGGCUUGAAUAUGGGCACUCAACCUGUUUGCUUGACUUGGGUUCAAAUCCAGAUUUGCAAAAUCAGAUCAAACCCGCAUAUUUGAUGAGGAUUCCAGCUUGGUUUUCAUGUGUUUUAAGCUGUGUUUUUUUAUCUAUAUUACUCCUUGCAUGUUGUAGUUUAACCUUGAUGUUUUAGUUCCAUAUAAUAUUGCUCAUGAGUUGAGAUUGAAGACCGCAAACAUGGCCCGAGGAAGCUGAUUGGGGCUAGUUUAAUGCACCAAGUGUUCGACAAAAUGCUCAAACUAAGCUUCGAUCUUGAAACGAUCGAUUUGAGCUUGAUUAUUGUGAUAUUCAUGUGCUGUGUUACUCCAUGUUAGCAUAGAUCGGUUUAAGGAAUUAUUAUUAUUUUUUUUUUUAAAAAAUAAUUAAAAAAGAGAAAAAUAUGAAAAUUUCAAAAAUAUCAAAAAAUGUUAGAUAGCAUCAAAUUAGGAUAUAAAUGACAUAUAUGAAAUUUUCCUAAUUUUAAAAGGUCAUUUUCCUAAUUUAAUGCUAUUUUGGUAUUUUAUAACCAUUUUUGUAAAUAAUCCAUUUUGCGUAGAUUAAAACUAUUUAAAGUAAUUUCAUGCAUAUAGAGUAAUUUCAUGCAUAUUUGAACUCUCAUUUUGCUCAUGGGGGUCUUGUCCCGGGGCGUGAUAACAAGGCCAUGUAAUAUUAUUUGCCCGACUUGUAUCGAGUUUACCUUUUCCGCGUUUAUUUUCAAGUCAUUUCAAUUUCUUGGAUGUUUACUUACGCGCCGCUUUUCAUUAUUUUGAGUGUAAAUUUCUCUUCUAAAUUAUGUUAGGAUUAGUCUAGACAUUAAAAAAAAAAAUACAAAAACAUUUGCAUGGACACUUAGUGGUUUCAUAAAGAUUAUAAUUGGUAAUCAAGAUUGUAUGGCCAUUUAGAUAAACAACCUUCCAAGUUAGUGGUACCGCAAGGGCGCUAAUAGAAACAUUGGCGUAAACAAGUCCCCGUUCCUAGAAAUCUCUGGUUGCGUAUGAAUCGAGACAACACUCCCGUGUCUUGAUUGGUUUCUAGCCGACCUCAAUAGGCUAGUGGCGACUCCUAGAAUUACAUAGGUUGUUAAUAACUAAAAAACGAAUCCAAUGUCGCGCGGGGUAUGGGCUUGGGAGAGCCCGCGCCUAAUCUAGGGCCAUUGGUCCACCUCUUUACGCAAAUACCCCUAAACCUUCUUCUUUUUCCCCGGACAGAAAAAAAGAGGUCGUGACAAAUAUGACAACAAAAUUUGAUUGAGCCCUGCAGUAUCAGCCAUUUAAAUCUGAGUUCCUUGUUAAAGUUCAUCAUUUAUCUUUCUCCUAUUCAACUUCCCACACCAUCUCACAGCACAUUUUCUUUUUCUUUGUUGUUGGGAAAAGGUGGAAAGGAGCAAUAAGGAAGACUAUGAUUUGUCCAAAUUUUGGGAUAUUUCUAUGCAAGAUUCUGAAAGAUCACUGCUCAAAACUCACUGGCAACUAUUGGCCCCUCAUCCAAGAGAUCCCUCCCUUCUACAUUGAUGGUGUUCAAAUCCAGUGAAUUGAAAUUGAUCACACCCGAGCCAUGACAAAUGAUUUAUCUUCAUUGACUACUUUUCCUUCUUCAGGUAAUUCUUAUAACUUCUUUCAUUCUUUUGCUUCCAUUUGCUAUCUGCCACAAUUCGUUGUUCCACCUAAAGUCAGCUUUCUGGGGUUGCGGUCAAUAUUUUGGGUUUGAAGGUAUCAAUUUCUGUUUUGUUCUUCAGUUUGAUGCUUAAUACAGAUUGAUUUUUUCCCGUGGAGAUGUUUCUCAUAGAAUUUCCAAAAACCAGCCACUGAAGGUCAGAGACUGACAUUUGGGUGUGUCGUGUGUGUCCUCGAUGGGGUCUUUUCUUUUUAGGCCAGCAACUCACUCACGGUUGAAAUAAGCCAAAUGUGAUAAGAAGGAUGGGGGAUAUAGAUGUAGGUCCCAGUUUUGGCAAAGCUACCUAAUGGGCACAAGCAUUUGGUUUUCGUGAAAUAUAGCUAAAAUUUGGGGCUGCAAAAUGAUCUUUAGCUUCUUGAAUCCCAUCAGGCACAUCCUUUAGUCUUUAAUUGCACUGUUUGGGAAAAUUGAUAAUAUCCUUGUAUACCACAGCUGCAUUCAGCUCCACUACUACCUUGAUUCAGCUUUUUUUUUAGCUACUGCAAUGCUCUUUCGAACAGCAAGUAAUUCAGCCUCCUUUGCAGAUCUAGCUUGCACUACCACACCUCUGCAGGCAAUUAUCUUCCCUGUUUCAUUUCUGGCCAUAAUCCCAAUGACAGCAUUUUUAGUUCCUCCAAAGUAAGAGCCAUCACAGUUAAUCUUCACAAAACCUAGCUCAGGUUUACUCUACACACCUUGCCUUUCAUCCACCCAAUCAUGACCCAGCUCUCCUACAUUUUUACAAGAAACGCAGUUUGAAAGUGCUUUUUUAAUUUGUAGGAGUGACAGUUUCAGGAUCAAGUGAUUUAUGGUCAAAGAUUACUGCAUUUCUAGCAUUCCGGAUAUACCAACUGGUGUAGGCAAUCAUUCUUAAGCGUUAUCAGCCUGUACCAAGUCAUUCGAAUCUCCUAGCCUCACAUUUGUAGAAUAUCAACCCAUACCAAUAAGUCACCAUCGCUAGUGAUUAGCAGUCUCCCAUACUUGUUAGUCAACAUAGCCAUAAGGGUUUUUUAGCAAAAGGAAAAACCAUUCAAAAGGGUCACCGAUUCCUGACAAUAAUAAAGCAAAGUAUCCCGGUUCUUGUCUUGUUUGCUCAUUUUUGGUUGCUUUUGGGUGGGUAUGCAUAUGAUUUUGUUUGUCGGAUCACUCUUGUAGUUGUUCAUUAAGCAUGAAAGGCAACUGUUAUUCAGGACUAAUUGAUCACCCGUUCCAGGUUUUUGGAUGAGAAAUAUGGGGAAUGUGGAAAGACCAUCAACGGUGGAGGAUGUAUGAUGCAUGGGGUCUUCUGUUUCCUUCCUCUCUAACCUCUCUUUGGAUGAGAAAUAUGAGGAGUGGAAAGACUAUCAAGUGGUGUUCAUGGUCAUCUCUCCUCCCUCAAAAGUUAUAUUUUCUAUGUUGCUCGAAGUUUGGGUACUUGCCAGAGGAUGGCUUCCCUCCCUCCCUCAACGUAUUCCACAUAAUUCAAUGUGAGAUUUUGAAGGAUGGAUCCUCUUUUGCGGGCAACUACUGGCACCUCAUCCAAGAAAUCCCACUCAUUGUGAUUAAUCUAGUUCGGAUCCAACAGGAAGAUUUCUCUCCACUGUUUUAAGUUUUGCUCUUCAGGUAAUGAUUUGGACUUCUUUCUUUCACACUUGUCAUUUAGCUACUGCUGCUCCAGGAUCCAUUUUCAUUAUGCUUCCUCAACUCAAUGCUAAAAUGUUCAUUUUUUUCCAUGGACGUGCUUCACAUAAAUGUCCACAAACCAGCUGCUGAAUGUCCAACGUUGACAUUUGGGUUGCCCUGUUUUGUUUACCAAGGAAGUACACAAUGAAAUGAUUAUAAUGCUAAUGUGGUACAGCCAAUGACAAUUCCUCGAACAAAUAAUACCUCCAUGGACUUGCUCAUGGUGCUGGAAUUAUGAUGUGUCAAAUGUGCCUGUCUAUAUCGAUUGUGAUGGCCAAAAAUUGCUUAUCUCUGCACUUGGAUGACACAUAAAGAAUUUGCUAAUGGAAAUGCACCAUGCAUUGCGUGAGAAUUAUGAAAAAAUUGUCACUCUCAUAUCGAAAUUGUUCUGCAAUUUCAGCAUUUGCUGUAUUUUCUCUUCCAAAUAUCUGUUUCUUAUGCCCUAGCUCACUGACCCGAAUUCUCUCGACUGUGCUUGUCUUGCAGAAGAUCCCACUGUCAUCUGUGUCUGGCAAAAUCUCUUGGGCUGAUCAAAUGCAAAUACUGUUGAGGUAGGCAACUGAUGUACUUAUGUCAUCUUUUGCAACCUGACAAAAGAUAAAAAAAAAAGCUAUUAAUUUUGGUAGGUGCAUCGAUAUGCUUUAAUUUUUUUUUUCUUUUUGUGACAAGGUCUAAAUAAGAUUAAUCUUUAUCAUGAUGUUGAUUAUCAAGGUCUAUAUUCAAAGUCAAAUUAAGAAGCUUUAUUACUUUGAAUAACAGCUAUUGUAAAGAUGCAAAAAUGGGAUCUAUAAUGGGUUCUCAAGUUGGCAAAUAUGAGAACUAAAUUUCAAUGAACCUUGCAUAUUAUAAUCUAUUCAAAUCUGACUUUCUUGUUAAAGUUCACAAUUCAUCUUUCUUCUAUUUAAAUCUCACACCAUCUCAGAGAACAUUUUCAUUUUCUUUGUUGUAAAGGAAAGGCGGAGAGGAGCAAUCAGGAGAUUAUGCUUUGUUGCUCUGUUGAGUAAUCCUAAAAGUCUCACGUCUGCCACGAAGUAUUUUGAUUUAAAAUUGCAAGAAGGUCAUCAUCCAAUACCACUUGCAACCCAGUUAUCUUGGGUAGGCAAGUCUCAUCGUUAUCCCACUAAGCUGCCAGAGCUUUAGUUAAUCUUCACAAAACCUAGCUCAGGUUACUCUACAAACCCUGCCUUUUGUCCACCCAAUCAUGACAGUGAUUUAUGUAGUGACAGUUCCAGGAUCAAGUGAUUUAUGUUUAAUGGUUACUGUAUUUCAAGCAUUGGAGAUAUACCAGUACGUGUAGGCAAUCAGUCUUAAGAGUUAGUAGCUCGUACCAAGUCAUUUGAUCACCUGACCUCACUUUUGUAAAAUAUCAGCCCAUGCCAAUAAGUCUCUAACACCAGUGAUUAGUGGUCUUCCAUACUUGUUUGUUAACAUAAUCAUAAGAGUUAUCCAGCAAUUAUAAAAAAAAACUCAUCAAUAGGGUAUCCUGGUUCACUUUUUGUUGCAGUCAAUUAGGUGUGCAUAUAAUUUUGUUCUGAUCACUCUUGUAGUUGUUCAUUAUGCAUGAAAGAUAAUUUUUAUUCAGGACUAAUUGCUCGCCCUGUUUCAGACUUUUGGAUGAAAAAUAUGAGGACUGUGGAAAGACUAUCAAUGGUGGAGGAUGUAAGAAGCGUGGAGUAUUCUGUUUCCCUUGUCUCUAAUUUCUCCUUGGAUGAGAAACAUGAGGAACAUGGAAAGAUUAUCAAGUGAUCUCUCUCCCCUCACUCAAACAACUAUCUUUUGUAGGUUACUGGUACUUGCCAGAGGAUGGCUUUGCUCCCUGCUCCAAGUAUUCGUCAUAAUGCAAUGUGAAAUUCUGAAAGAUUGAUGCUCAAAACUCAUAGUGAUGACUGUUGGCACCCUAUCCAAGAAAUCCCUUUCAUUGUAGUUGAUUGAGUUUGGAUUCAAUAAGAAGAUUUCUCUGCAAUGUCUAAUUUUUAUUCUUCAGGUAAUGCUUUGGACUUCUUUCUUCUUCCACACUUGUCAUAUAGCUACUGCUACUGCUCCAGGAUCCAUUUCUAUUAUGAAUCCUCAAUUUGAUGCUAAAAAGUUCACGUUUUUCCAUGGACAAGCUUCACAUAAUUUGCCUCAAACUAGCUAGACAUUUAGGUUGCUCUGUGUUGUUUGAUAAGGAAGCACACAAUGAAAUGGUUAUAAUGCUGAUGGGGUACAGCUAGUCCACCUUUGUUUCAUACGAGUGACUUCCUCAAAACAAAUAACACUUCAUGGGCUAGCUCACAGUGCUGGAAUAGUGAUGCACGGAUGUGCUUGUCUGGAUUGAUGAUAUAUCUUGAACUUUGUUCGGUGCCCAAUUAUGGCUCAUCUUUCCACUUAUGGAAAUGCACUAUGCUUUGCGUGAGAAUCAUGAAGACUUGUUGCUCUUAUACCGAUAUUUUUCUGCAAUUUCAGCAUUUGUUGUAUUUUCCAUUCCAAAUAUCUUUAUUUUAUGCCCCAACUCAGUGACCUGAAUCUUCUCAACUGUGCUUGUUUUGCAGAAUAUCUCACCGUCUUUUAUUUGGGAAAAUCUCUCGGGAGGAUCAAAUGCAAACACUGUUGAGGUAGGCAAAUGAUGUGCUUAUGUUCAUCUUUUGCAACUUGACAAAAGAAAAACAAAAGGCUAUUUAUUUUGAUAGGUGUAGUGAUAUCCUCUAAACUGUUUUUUGGGUGACAUGCUCAAAAAGAUUAAUCUGUAUCACGAUGUCAAUUAUCGAGCUCAAUAUUGAAAGUCAAAUGAAUAAGCUUUCUUACUUCCAACAACAGCAGCUAUUUUAAAGAUGCAGAAAAUAGGAUUCAAAACAGGUGUUUUCGAUUUGGUGAAUGUGACAAUUAAAUUUGAAUGAAUCCUGCAGAUUAUAAUCCAUAUAAAUCUGACUUCCUUGUCAAAGUUCAAAGUUCAUCUUUCUUCUAUUCAAAUUCCCACACUAGCUCAGAGCACAUUUUAUUUUUCUUUGUUGUCAAGGCAAGGCGGAGAAGAGCAAUCAGGGAGACUAUGCUUUGUCGCUUUGUUACAUCAUCAUGAUAGCCUUACGUUUGCCGCGAUGUAUUUUGAUAUAAGAUUGUAAGAAGGCCGUCAUCCAAUACUACUCACAACCAUUUAUAUAUGGUAGGCGAGUUUCGUCACUAUGAGCCUACCAAGCUGCCAGAGCUCCCGUCAAAGAUGAAACAAAAUUCAUGCACCAUCAUCGCUAGGGGGUUAUCGUUGUGACGUUGCGUUCGUGAAAUAUCAACCUGUGCCAAUAGGCCACAAUCACUGGUGAUCAGCGGUUCCCCGUAGUUCUGCAAUAGCAUUAUCAUUAGGGGCAUUAAGGAAGAACAAAAUCAUCAAAACAAUCACAUUUUUUAGGCUAGCAAGUGGCAAUUGGAAGUACCCUGGUCUGUCUUGUUGAUUGGUGAGCAUGUGUAUGAUUUGUAUGUCUGAUUGCUCUUGUAAUUGUUUAUUUUGCAUGACAAAGUAAUUUUUACUGUGGGCUACUCGAUUUUCUCAUCUGAUCAUCUGUUUUUGUUCCCUUUUUCAUCUCACACAUCAUACAUUAAUCUUUUGGUUGAACUUGAAGAGUCCGAUAUAGUGACUGAUUCUAUCAAGAUAAUUAUAUUGACGAUUGCGAUCGACAAAAGUUGGGGCAUUAAAGAAAAUGUCUAGGCCCUUAGGAAAGUGAACUCUGAUCAACGUAAAGAAAACAUAAUUCUUUUUGUUUUUUUUUUUAUCUGUUUCGCUUUUUAUGCAAUUAAAAAGCAAUUUUUUCUCAACGAUUUGUGAGAAUUUUAGAUGUCUUCAAAACACCUAUCUUCAUCUAGUCAACUAAUCCUACGUUAGUUGCCUUUAUACAGUGUUACAAAUCUUCUUGCUUUUUCUUUACAGUAUGUGGUAAUAGUUUACAUGAUUGAGUUGAAUAAUGAUUGUUUCGAGAAUACCUAAAUAUUUGUCACCAAUGAUUUAGAUUUAUUGAUUUUUCAAACAAUAGUGUGUGAUAUACUAAUUUAUAGAUGUAAAUAAAUGAUAUAAGCAUAUUCAUGAUGAUUAAGAUUUGUUGAUUUUUCAAACAAUACCGUGUGAUAUACUAAUUUAUAGAUGUAAAUCAAUGAUAUAAGCAUAUUCAUUAGUCGGGAUAUCAUUUGUUAAGGUUAAAAUAACUUUUGAAAAAUUUCCCCCUGUCAAAAAAAUAAAAUAAAAUAAAAGGCUUUUCCGGAACUUCAAAAUUUGCGGAUGUCAAAAAAUAAUGACAAGUCAACUUUCCAUUAUCCAUAAUAUGACGUUGUUCUUUUCUCUUUGCCAAAAAAAUUGAUAUGGCAUAAGAGGAUGCGACUGAUCUUAAUAUUUAAAGCAGGCUCCAAAUAAGAAAAAAACUAGUAAUAUCGACAUUUCAUAUGUGGAGCGAUAUUGAUACUGUGGAGCUUAUAUAUUUCCCUUAAUAAAUUCCUAGUUUAAUACCAAAGAGAAGCCAAAAAAAAAAAGAAAAAAAAAGGACUUCCUAGUUAGUUCCCGAAACAAGCUCCCUCUUCAAAUUUUGUAGUGUGAAAUAAAAGUUAUUUUUUUCUUAAAGGAAGAUUUUAUACAUAUAUUUUCGAAAUGUUUCAGGUGUUCUCAGUGCUAAAUGCAUAUUCAACUUGAAUUUAACAACUGCAACAGUAUUAAGCCCUAACGCCAUGCUGCAAGUGCAAUGGCAUUGAAUGGGCCGUCGUUGUCAUGUUGGGCCUCAAAAGGUAGAUAGCCCCAACUCUUGGGCCUUAAUCCCAAAAUGGAUCCGAUUUUACUUGGACUUGACAUACAAUUCGGCUAAUAAGGUAAAGAAAGUUGUUCGGCUAGGACAAUGGUCACUAUUAGUAUUUGUAGAACUAUUGAAUGGGCAAGCCUAGACGGACCAAAUCGGAUAGUGACCAUCAAAAUUCUUACCUGGCCUGGCCUAUGAUUUUGGAAACUAUUAUACUUUCUUAGUAUGAAUAACAGCGUCGAUGCAAGCCAAAGCCCAAGCAGAAAUUACUUGUCCAGACUCAUUCGGGCCAUCCAUUUGCCCAAUAAUAAAACCACAUUGGACAAGUCUUGGUAGCUCUAAGCUCUAAGAGAAGAGUCAUGGCCCCAAGCUUGCCCAAUUGUUUUCCCUUAUAUUUGGGCUAGGUUUAGCCGAGCCCAAUGGGCAAUUCUUCUUUUGCUCUCAGCCUACUCAAAUGCAUGAACGAGUUUGUUUGACACUUGAAUUAGUGUAAGCAAUUCAAAAUAUCUGGUUUUAUCCCAAGGGACAAAAAUGAUAUAUAUAUAUAUAUAUAACAUGCUUAAUAUUGAUGUGGGUACUUUUUGCGUAUGGUCGAAAUUUGGGGCCUAACUAUGUGCGAAAACACACAAUCAAAUAUGAAGAAAAAUGAUUUAUUACAGUGGCUCUCUCUAAAUUUAGUUAAUGAGAGACUUGUAAUCAUUCUAAUUCCCUCUCCUUCCUUAUUCUAGCGUAAUAAGAUGAGCCGUCAUCAUCACCUAACAACAAUUUAAUUGGAAUUGUAUGGUGAGUUGACCAAAAGAAUAUCAUAAUCCAUGGAAAACCUCAAAAGGAGAAAUUUUCUCCCUCAAUGAUAAAAGUUGAUCCUCGGCAUUUUCGUCAAAGGAUUCAAUGUGAAACAAAAGCCAUCAAGCAACACACCACCAUGGGGAAAAUUAUUUAAAAAGUCCCAAAUCUAUUAUAUUUUUGCCAAUUUAGUUUUAAAUAUUUUAAUUUUGUUAAUUCAGUCAUAAACAUUGUCACUUCUUGCUAAUUUAGUCCAUCUGGCCAAUUUUGGAUAAAAAUUGCUAACAUGAACGGCCGAUGUUAAUGUGAAACUUUUUAAUAAUAUUUUAAUUUUUUUUAUAAUUUUUUCUUCUUUUAUUAAUUUUUUUUUUUUUUUGGGUUUCGAAUUUGGACCGGCAACCCUCGCCAGAUCUAGCCAAGCGAGGGCGGCCAAGUCCCCGCCUGGCCAGACUUGGUGAUGGCGUUGCAGCCCUCACCAUUUCUAGGCGAAGGCUCGCACGCCCUCGCCUUGGCCGACAAGGGGCGUGACGUCCUCAACUAGAGCCGGCCCUUCGCCUUGGCUAGCAAGGGGCGUGAUGUCCUCUACCAGAGCCGGCGAGGGCCGGUUAGUCCUCGCCCAUGGUCGGUGAGCCCAAAAGAAAAAGCCAAAAAAAUGAAAUAAUAAAAAAAGGGAAAAAAAUAAAAAAUAUUAUUGAUAUAUUAUUUAAAAAAGGGUAAUGCCAGCGUCAGUUGUUCAUGUUAAUAAUUUUUUGCCAAAAUUAGCUGGAUGGACUGAAUUAUCAAGAAGUAAAAAGGUUUAGGAUUGAAUUAGCACAAGUGCAAUAUGUUUAUGACAUUUUGGACAAUUUUCCCCACCACCAUGCAAAACAAAUAACCACCCUCCUAUAAAAAAAAAAUUUAAAAAGGGCAAGAAAAGCCAAGUUAUAGGCUUUGAAGUCCCGAUUUUAAUUUAUUUUUAAUCAAUCACAUUGUAUUUGCUAAUGUUAGAAGUUUGAACCAAACAUUGAGCUAAUAAGUGAAGAAAGACCGCAAUGGGAUGUUUCAAUACUCCUUGUGAUAUUUUAACAUCCCCUCUUGCAUGAAAAUUGAAAAAAAAGGGUAGACUUGGUUCAUAUACCAUAUUAGAAAGUCAAAUUCAAAAUAUUAAACUAAAAAAUAGAGAGAAAUUACAUAUACAUAAAGAGCAUAUAAAUCGAAUAAACAAGUAAUGGAAGAUACCUUAACAAUCCAUAAUGCCUACUAUUUGGAGUUUUGCGAAGCUCCCCUCCAAUUCAUUUCACGGUUUUUAGUUUCAAUUGGGUAAUCAAGCCUUUAAGAAUAGUACAUCCACCGUUGGAUGACGUGAACUUUCCAUGGAUACCAACUUUUGACGAUACAAGUGAGAAAUCAUGAAUCCUAGAAUUCAUUCUUUAUGUUGUGAAUUCCCCUCUAGAUCAAAUUAAACCAAUCAUUAGGUAAUUAAAGGCAAUUGGAUGUGAUGGUUGAUCUAGCUAGUUUCACUAGUUGCGAUAGUGGCAACACCAUUGGAAUGAGUCGCCUUGGCGGUGGUGUGGACGCCAACAGCAUGGCGGUGGCCGUGGGAAUGGGGGUGCUCUCUCUUGCCCCAUUCCUUCAUUUCUUAUUUCUUUUUCAGUUUUUUGCUGUUUUUUUUUUUUUAGCUUUUCCUUUCGCUUUUAUUAAGCUUAUAUUUGAUAAGAUACAUGAAAAUCUAGACAUAAUUCUAAUUGACAAGUACCAUAGAGAUAAAUGAAUGAAUAAUUAAAGUAUGAUUCAACGUGAAAACAGUUAGACAAACAUUAUUGUUGAUUUUGAGCAAGAGAACAACAAUAAAUGCUGAUUCUUAAAUAAUAUUUCAAUCAAUGGAAACGGAAAAAAAAAUGUAAAAAGUGAAGUAAUAAAGUCAAUUUGCAUCCAGGAAAGUCUUGGUCUUCCUGAGUUUAUGUUAUACGUGGCCAUGACAGUGCUAAAAAUUCGCAGCAAGAUGGGUGGCUAUGAUCUGCUGAAGAGUGCUGAGGAAGUAAUUAAUGAUCAGGAGCAGAUUAAUAGGAGAAUGCUAGUCCUUUUGAACACGAUUUUCCUGUUCAUGAGUUUUAUGUGUAGACCAUAAUUUCCAGUAGAUCAUACUAUUAGAUGGUUAUUUGUGGCUCCUUUAUUAUUGACAGAGUAAAACAAAGCAACUUGCUUAAUGGAUUGGUUGGUGUGCCUAACCCUUUUUCUUGUUUAGCUCAAAGCACGUGCUUUUGUUUUCCUUAUUGAAUAGAGAAAGUUAGCUGUCUAUGAUGACUUGUAGUUAUAUAACGAAAAGUCUUGGUCUUCCUAAGUUUAUGAUUUAUAUACAUGAACAAAUAUAUGAUUAUGGAAACUACAAAUAUCUGAGGAUAUUCUCUCAACAUUACGAGACAAUCACUUGUGGACAAAAGGUAUGUUAUAUCGAUUCGUCUAACCACUUAUGCCUAUUAUUGAAAGUCUAGGUCUUUGUUUAUUGUUUUUGGUAGGUGAAAGUCUUGGUCUUCCUGUCCUUUUGUAGUUUAUUUUAUGUUGAUUCCGAAAAUCUGCCAAUCAAGUAUUUUGCUCCGGUAGCUGGUUCUUUGAAGAUAAACGUGGACGGAUCCAUCCGUGAGGGGUCAACGGAAGGAGCCGUGGCUGGUGUAGUUCGAGAUUUCUCCGGUAGCCUCGUGGAUGGCUUCGCGAAGCAGGUUCGGGCGGUGUUGAGCCUUCACAUUGAAACCCUAGCUGUGCUUGAAGCCUUGGAGUACAUAAAGCAGAAAAAUAUAGCAGAAGCUUCAGUUGAAACCGAUGGCAUAGGGCUUGUGCAAUCCCUAAAGUACAAGAAAGACUUUACUUGGGAAACACGUGCGAGCUGGACAAAGUGCCUUGAACUUCUGCAGCAACUUCCGAACGUGGAUCUGCGCUAUUGUCCGCGGGCCGCCAACACAGCUGCGGAUUGGGCCGCGCGACAAAAAAGAAGUAAAAGCCUCCCUUGCAACUGGACGUUUUCUCCCCCUCAAGGCCUAUGGGCCAUAUUAUGUAAUGAUGCGUCAAUUGUGGGGCUGAGACCAGCUAUAAUAUAAAUAAAAUAGCACUUUUCGAACAAAAAAGUAUUUUGUCAAGAAGAUUUUCAAUAUUUACUCCUUAUUCCACACAUUUUAUCAUCUAAAUCAAAACCGUAAAUACAAAGGAUACUCUACGCCCGACCAAAGCUCUAAACUUCAAUUUCUAACUUUCAUCGUUUACCAAGUACUUUGCUUCUUGUUGUUUGGAUCCAAUUUGUCCGCGGUUUAUGCUACAUCAUAUUGUCCAUUACAUGCUUGUAAGGGACUGACAAUGUGAGUAUAAUGCUAUUAUUACUCAUUUAUUUGGUGAAGUCAGUGUCUAUUUUUCUUCUUUUUUAUAUAUUUAUGUUUUUGGGUUGACAUUAAAAAUGGAGCUCUUGAUUUGGUGGGAUAUAAAUGAGGGGGUGGAAAUUCAUGAGCCAUAAGUGGCGGAAAUUCACGAGACAUGAGUGGGGUACCAUAUGCUCAUUUGAGUGUACACAAAUGUUCAUGGGAUUCAUUGGAAUUGGAAAAUGUGAAGAACUUUAGAUUGGUUCACGCAUCAAGUUCGAGGACCGUGUUUUCUUUAUUGCCCACUGCCUUCAAGAGACUAAUCAAGCCAUUGAUUGGGUCACCAAGGCCCACCGAAACAAGACUCUCCCUACCAAUUAAUUGUCUUUACCCCAUCUUUCCCUAUGGAAUAUUUUAUGUUCAAAAACUCAAUAGUCUAACCCUAGUAGGGUUUGUUUCUUCAUAUGAAUGAAUGUGUCUUUCAACCAAAGAAAAAAAGAAAAAUUUGGGAAGUGGUUUACUUUGUCAUAUCAAACUACUAGUCGAAUUUUGAAUAAAUCUUGGGUAUUUUGAUCUUCUCAAAUUUUUGCAUCUUUAUUUUAUGUCAUUACCUUACUUGUCAAUUUGAUGAAAGAGGUCAUUUUCUGAUAAUUAACUCAAAUUAGCAUUGGAAAUUGUUCGUUUAUUUAUGUUUUCAAAGAUGGGUGCAUGGUAUCAGUGCUUGAUUAACCCAUUGGACAAGGUAUCAUGUCUCGAAUUCAAUUUNNNNNNNNNNNNNNNNNNNNNNNNNNNNNNNNNNNNNNNNNNNNNNNNNNNNNNNNNNNNNNNNNNNNNNNNNNNNNNNNNNNNNNNNNNNNNNNNNNNNNNNNNNNNNNNNNNNNNNNNNNNNNNNNNNNNNNNNNNNNNNNNNNNNNNNNNNNNNNNNNNNNNNNNNNNNNNNNNNNNNNNNNNNNNNNNNNNNNNNNNNNNNNNNNNNNNNNNNNNNNNNNNNNNNNNNNNNNNNNNNNNNNNNNNNNNNNNNNNNNNNNNNNNNNNNNNNNNNNNNNNNNNNNNNNNNNNNNNNNNNNNNNNNNNNNNNNNNNNNNNNNNNNNNNNNNNNNNNNNNNNNNNNNNNNNNNNNNNNNNNNNNNNNNNNNNNNNNNNNNNNNNNNNNNNNNNNNNNNNNNNNNNNNNNNNNNNNNNNNNNNNNNNNNNNNNNNNNNNNNNNNNNNNNNNNNNNNNNNNNNNNNNNNNNNNNNNNNNNNNNNNNNNNNNNNNNNNNNNNNNNNNNNNNNNNNNNNNNNNNNNNNNNNNNNNNNNNNNNNNNNNNNNNNNNNNNNNNNNNNNNNNNNNNNNNNNNNNNNNNNNNNNNNNNNNNNNNNNNNNNNNNNNNNNNNNNNNNNNNNNNNNNNNNNNNNNNNNNNNNNNNNNNNNNNNNNNNNNNNNNNNNNNNNNNNNNNNNNNNNNNNNNNNNNNNNNNNNNNNNNNNNNNNNNNNNNNNNNNNNNNNNNNNNNNNNNNNNNNNNNNNNNNNNNNNNNNNNNNNNNNNNNNNNNNNNNNNNNNNNNNNNNNNNNNNNNNNNNNNNNNNNNNNNNNNNNNNNNNNNNNNNNNNNNNNNNNNNNNNNNNNNNNNNNNNNNNNNNNNNNNNNNNNNNNNNNNNNNNNNNNNNNNNNNNNNNNNNNNNNNNNNNNNNNNNNNNNNNNNNNNNNNNNNNNNNNNNNNNNNNNNNNNNNNNNNNNNNNNNNNNNNNNNNNNNNNNNNNNNNNNNNNNNNNNNNNNNNNNNNNNNNNNNNNNNNNNNNNNNNNNNNNNNNNNNNNNNNNNNNNNNNNNNNNNNNNNNNNNNNNNNNNNNNNNNNNNNNNNNNNNNNNNNNNNNNNNNNNNNNNNNNNNNNNNNNNNNNNNNNNNNNNNNNNNNNNNNNNNNNNNNNNNNNNNNNNNNNNNNNNNNNNNNNNNNNNNNNNNNNNNAGUUUUUUAGUUAUUGAUUGAGGGAAAGGAUGGUACUUGAAAAUCAUUUUUGCUUCCAGUAUCAUCCUUGUCAAUUUGUAGUUUUGCUAUCAAGUUUCGAUGAUCUUUUCUCGAACUUGAAAUGAACACAAUUGUGGGAAGAUACUUACGUUGGGACAUCAACCAAAUUGCCUAAAUACAGUUUUGGUUCUUUUAAAAUUGAUGUUCAGGCAAUUUAUCUCUCUUACUUUUUUGUGGCAGUGCAAUGUCCUGACAUUGUCGGCUUGUACAAUAAAACCUUUCCGUGCCUACCAUUACUUGUAGUGUCCAAUCGAUAAUGUGGCGCCACAUUGGCAAAUUUAGAAAAAAAGUAUAGAAUAUGUAGGAAGAGAGAGGUGGUGGGAACAGUUGCCUAGCCUUGUCCAUACGCUAGCUAAUAUGGUGUCUUGUUUUUGGCGUAACUUUUGGGUUUCGCCCCUUUCAAUGCCCCCCAAAAAAAAAAAAAGAUUGUGUCCUGUACUGGACAAGUAUCAAAAACAAAGGGAUACGACAAAAAUUAUGCCGUAAUACCUUCAACUACUUUGUCCCUGAUCAAUGAAUCUUAUAUGUAUGAAAAAAAGAUUUUUAUAUCCUCUCAAAAUGAUAGGUCAUUUAUCUACCCAAUAAAGUCACAAUGCAACGAAGCAUCACAAAUAUCAUUAUUUUCUUCAAUGAUAAUAUCUUAAGAACAAUUAGUUCUAACUACUUAGUAAUAGGUUCAAUGAGUAGAACACUCGACACUAUUUGUGUAUUAAGAGAAAAUCGGGCACUAUGUGGGUUCGUGAAUAUUGCUGUAUUGGGAAAGACGAAAUCUUCUUAUUCAAAAGCAAGCGCGUAAAUUACAAAUCAUUGCUAUAAAUUUAAUUUGAGUCUUGUUAAUGAAUAUUUCGAAAUCACUUCUUAAUUGUACUUAAUAAAGAAAGAAAAUCGUUCACAAAACAUUACAUGUAAAAGAUAUAAGGGAGACGGUGCAUCAAAUAGAACAAUAUUUCUCUAUUCAAAUAUUUAACAAGUAUCCUUGGACUACAUGUUAAGAAGUCCUAAUGAUUUUAGUAAAUAUUAAGCGCAUCCAUUUAACUUUACCCCACCCUAAAAUUGAUGCAUUGAGCUUCACGACACGUGUCAUGGGACUCAUAGGCAAGGGUAGACAAUGGUAGGUCCCAAGAAAUUUUUAAAAAUGAAAUAAAAAGAAGAGGCUCCAAUGUGAACAAAAAUAAUCAAAUCAAAUCCGACAGGGAGCUGCAAAGGGAGCGGUUGAGAUUGUCGGAUGGGCGUGAGGUCCGUCUUGUAAUGAUGCACCCACCGUCCAUCAUCGAUCCGGCGAGAGAGCAGUUUUCAACGUUGGAUAAGGGCGGAUCCAUAGCAAGUAUCCUGGACCUGAAGACUACCGGAUAAUUCGGCCUUUGAGAACGUGUGCGUGCUUUUUACAGUGAGGAAGCUUCGAACAGAAUAACCCACUUCAACAGAAAAAAAAAAUUUAUUAUUUUAAUUCGGAGAAACUAUAUAGAAUAAGAUUUUCUUAAUCAAGAUAUAUUAAUAUGUAGAAGAGAGGACCGUCUGAUUUUUUAGUAUUUCAACACGAAGAGUAUGCGAGCUUAUUCGUAGAAUUUACAAAAUAACUAUUAUAGUAACAAAAUCGAACGAAAGUUAAUUUACGUGGUGUUGAAAUGAUUGAAUCAUUUUCGCGAGAUGAAUAAUCACUUAUACAUGCGUUGCAAACUAAGAGGAUAACAUUGACCAAUUUGAAAUGUGUAUAAAUGUAUUUACAAAACAUUAUUUUUUUUUUAAUAUCUCCUCAACGGCCUCCUAAAAGUUCAUACUUCUAAGUAAGAUGAGUUGCCGGUUUAUCUCAUUUGACUUUUUUUUUUGCACUUGGAAAAAUUACUGACAUCCUUUCAUAUUUUGCCAAUUAAUAUCAUUUUUUUUGCUUAUUUCCUAGCCUUUGAUUUUACAACAUUAAAUUUGGAGCACGAGGCAAAUAUUACAUGUAAGGACUCAUGCUUUAGAUUCUCUUUUACAAAAGAGAGAGAGAGAAAAAAAAAAGAUCCACACUUUGGGUUUCUAAACCCUAAAAAGCCCAAGUCGUCAUUUUAUGUUCCAUACUCCUAAAAGUGAGUGACUCUCGUAUUUGUUGACUCCCCCUUCUAAGCUCUAAUUCGCAAUAAAGAAUUUUUAGAGGGGUCAAUUUUCAAUUUUUAUUUUUUGCAAGCGCCCAAAAAUAUUUUUAUCGUAUGCAAUUUAUUGGUGGUGCCAUGAAGCCAAGAACGCAUCACUAGAUUGACCAUUUGCUCAAUGUAAUCGCCAGAAGCGAAUUUAGGGUUAAGCACAUGUUUUAGAAAUGGUUUAUUAAAAAAAAGAAAGCGUGAAUGAAAAGUUGCUAUUUUUUCAUUGUGCAAAGCUUACUACAAGAAAGUAAAAGAAUAAGGGAAGCACAAACCUAUAAAGAAAUUAUUGAUCUACUCCUGCUCGUCUGACCCUAGACUUUCGUUAGACAACUACACAGACCCUUUUUCUUGUUUAGCUCAAAGCACGUGCUUUUGUUUUCCUUUUUGAAUAGAGAAAGUUAGCCAUCUCUGAUGACUUGUAGUUGUCUAACGAAAAGUCUUGAUCUUCUUAAGUUUAUGAUUUAUGUACAUGAACAAACAUAUGAUUGUGGAAACUCCAAAUAUCUGAGGAUAUUCUCCAAACAUUACGAGACAAGUACUCGUGGACGAAAUGUAUUUUAUAUCGAUUCCUCUAACCACUGAUGUGCAUUCUUGAAAGUCUUGGUCUUUGUUUAUUGUUUUUGGUAGGUGAAAGACUUGGUCUUCCUGGCCUUUAUAGUUUUCUCUCUCCCUUAUCUCUUUAUCACUUAGAUUCACCAUCACCCAUGCCUUUCCCCGUGCUCAACAGUGUUCUCCUCCUGCUCGUCUGAACCUAGUGGUCUUGCUUGCUGGAUUGCUGUCAUUGAUCUCAUCCCAUUCACCGGUUUGCUCCAGGAAGUCUCCUCGGAAAAGGUAAGAGACAUCUAUCUUCUUGCUCUGUUUUUCCCUCAAACUGAUGCAGACGCAACUUGCUACCUAAAGCAUCUGGUGGGCGUUUAUUACCCGAGAGCAACCACCUAUUCUUUCUUAAAUCUUUCUAUUAGUGGAGGCAAAGAAGAGGCAACAGCAGCAACAUAAGUUUACCGAUUUCAUGCCUAUCUAUGAUCCUGAUUAAAGUUGAUGUCAAAUACUUGAUGUCGAGUUUAAUAACAAAAACCUAUUACUUCAAUUUUUGUUAGAUAGUAAUAUUAGGACAUUAAGAUUAAUUUUUAAUCUCUCCAUCAUUGAUCUCUUUACUAAACACACACUGACGUGGAAUAAUUUUGCUAAGUACAAGUUUGGGAUUUUACAUGAAAUAAUCACAUAUCAGUUUGGAAUUUUAGUCAAUUAAAUUGGGUAAACAACAAUAAAUAUUAUAAGGGGAUAGCUUCAUUUCUCUUAGAAGAGAUUCACAGGAAAUUCACGUUUGCUAUAAUUUCGCGGUGCCAAACAAAAUAAAUAAUUUAUGUUGUGAUUUUUCACAUCUUCACUCUUAUGGUAGAUUUACCAUCAACGGAAGGGGGUAAGGUGAAUUAAUAAGGUGUUUGCGAUUUAGUAUUCUUUUAAAGUGUGCCAGUGUAAUCAAUCGAGUUAAGUCAAUUCAAUCGCAAAUUCAACUUCACAUGAAGUAGUCUUUGCCGAAGCCCUAAGGGUGUUGCAUGUGGACGACUUGUUUUCAUUGUGCGAAAACCGAUGAUAGUUCAGUGUUGGAAAACUUAUUCAUGUUUUUUCUUUCAAGAUAGAGAAAAAUGUGAAGGUGUUCACAAUAAAAAAUUAAAUUUUGAAUUAUGGAAAUCAAAAUUGUGCUUUGUUAGAAAAAGACCAUGUGAAGACUUAGUGUUUUGUUAGAGAAAAAGGUAUUCCUACGUCAGAAUAGUUUCUGAGAUUGUUCCAUCUUUUAUAAUGCGCAUUAAUUUGGUAUUAAACAGAAUUCACAUAUUUUUCAACCCUAAAAAGCCCAACUUGUCAUUUUAUAUUGUACACUCCUAAAAGUGAGUAACUUUCUUAUAUUUGUUGAGUCCCCCUUUUAAGUUCUAAUUCAUGCUAAAGAAUCUUUGGUGGGGCUGUGAAGCCAAGAGCACAUCACUCCAUGGAUUUAAUCUCUCUCUCUCUCUCUCUCUCUCUCUCUCUCUCUCUCUCUCUCUCUCUCUCUCUCUAUAUAUAUAUAUAUAUAUAUAUAUAUAUAUAUAUAUAUAUAUAUAAAAUCUAUUUUCCCUUUGAGCCCGAGAGAGAGGGGACCAAUAAUGCAUGUAAUCGGCGAAUUAAGGGUUUAGUACAUGUUUUAGAAAUAAUUCAUUAAAAAAAAGCGUGAAUGAAAAGUAAAUGUUUAUGAUCGUGCAUUCCCAUUCCCUCUACCAGAAAGUAAAAGAUAUGAUAGCGAGAAGGGAGAGGGAAAAAAUAUACAAAGUCACCACCUGAAAGAAGUGAAAUGCUCCGACCAAAAAAAAGUCAUUUUGUUAAAAAGAUUAUUAUGGCUCUAAUCUCCUUGUGAAUUUUACAUUAUGAUGUUAUCAAAUAUUGAAAACUCAUCAUUUUUUUCUUAAUUGUAGACCAAUAGAAGACAAAUAAAAGAGGGACAUUUGCUUUCAUCCAAGGUAAAUAGGAAAUACAUCGUUGAAAGCAACCUUCUUGUUUGUUCGAUCUUUUCAUACUUGUCGGAAUCAUCAGAUCGCCAUUGCCUGUGAUGGAGAGCACGUUAUGUCUGAGUGAACUUCACGCCUUUAUGAACGUAUCAGAAUACAUAAUGUUUAAAGAACACUUCUAGAGAGAAUGCCUUCUUGCUGCACAAAAAGAUGUAGAAAAACAGACGAAAGGCUGGAUAGAGAGCACAUGCUCUCCGAACGAUUCUGCUCAUUGAUCGCAUAUUCUGGAUAUGCGAUCAAUGUAUGCUUUUAGUGGCAGUUACAGUGUUAAAACCUCGUAGCAAGAUGGGCAACAAUGAUCCGCUGAAGAGUGCUGAGGUAAUAGUUGAUAAUCGGAAUCGCUUGAUAAGAGAACAUGGUCCUCUGAACACAAAUUUCCCGUUCAUCAGUCUGAUGCAUAAAGUAUAAUUUUCAGUAGAUUAUAUAAUGUUAGCUGGUGAAUUUUUUUACUCCUUCACUAUUUGCAAAGCGAACUAAACCAACUUGGUUAAUGGAUUAGUGAUGUGCCUGACCCUUUUUUCUUGUUUAGGCAUGUGCUUUAUUUUCCUUAUUGAACAGACAAAAUUAGCUGCCUUUGAUCUCUUUACAUGGUCAUUCACGUUGAAGGAGGAAUCAGUAAUCUUAUCAUAUCCUAAACAAAUGCAAAUUUUCAGCAUUGUAACUGUCACGUAAAAGCCUACAUUGAUUGCAUAUUCACCAAUAAAGCAGAAAAAAAAGGACAAUGAAUCAUAAAGAUUCUAACAAUAUAUGAAUGCUAGAAAAGCCAACACAUCAGUCAUAAGCAAUGAAGUUUUUGAUGAAAAUAUGUGUGCGCUCUAAGUUGGUCAUGUGUAGAAAAAUCACAUUUUAUCCUCUGUUUGGAUAACCACAAGAAAAGUCUCAAUCUGAAGAAAAGGGAGAACAAUUGACGAAACAAGCACUCUUGGGCAAAAAACUAUUUAUUUUGAUUUGUCUAACCUUUCGUAUGCGUCUCUUAAAAGUCUUGGUGUGUUUUUUUUUAUUCUCUUUGGUGAGUGAACGUCUUGGUCUUCUUAUAAUUCAUAGUUUUCACUCUCCACUAGCUCAUUUUAACUUUGCUUCAUCAUAACACCUUUGUUGUUCUCUAUAGUGACCGAUUCACCCAUGUCCAUUGGAGAGAUCGUUUUGGGUUCCUUCUUGGCUUCCCUCUUUCAAGUCUUGUUUGAAAAGUUGGCUUCUCUCCCUUUGGGCUCUACACAACAAGAAGGAAUUAGCAUUGCCCAGCUCAAGGGUUGGGAGGAAGAGCUGACAAUGAUCAAUGCAAUGCUGGCUGAUGCAGAGGACAAGCAACUCAAAGGUGAUCAUCAAGUGAAGCUAUGGUUGGAUGAUGUUGGGGACUUGGCCUAUGACAUGGAAGACUUGCUCGAUAAGUUCGCCAUCAAAACUGCUCAAGUUAAGAUGGAGGUAGAAUCUAGCACAAGCAAAGGUCGAAUGAAAUGGAAGUUCUCUUGCUUUGGCCAAAAUAAACCCUCCAGAUGGAAUCCGAACCCAUCCUCGCUCGUGUCUAAAACCAUGGUCCAAGAGAUCAAUGGUAGGUUGGAAGCGAUCAUCGAUAGGAAGGCUCGUUUAGGCUUGGAAGUGAUCGUCGACAGGAAGGUUUGUUUAGGCUUGGAAGCGAAUGUUGUGAACAGAUCCACCUACAUCAAUAAAAGGGUUCCCACUAGUUCUCUGCCGGAGCGUCAAUUUUUUGGCAGGGAGGAGGAAGAAAGGGAGAUACUCGAAUUAUUGAUCCGUGAGGUAAAAAAUGACACACUAAGCAUAGUCCCCAUAGUUGGGAUGGGCGGUGUUGGAAAGACGGCCUUUGCUCAGCAGCUAUAUCAUAAUGCCGAAGUGAAUAGCUAUUUCGAGAAGAGAGCAUGGGUUUGUGUCUCAGAUGUUUUUGAUGUCCUUGACAUAACAAAGACUAUUUUGCAGUCGAUCACUGGAUUGUCCAAUGUGGGUGAAGAUCUUGACAAGCUUCAAGUUAAGUUGAAGGAUAGUAUAUCUGGGAAGAAAUUUCUAGUGGUUUUAGACGAUAUCUGGAAUGAGGAGUAUGAAAAAUGGACUACUUUUUUAAAGCCAUUUGAAGUGGGGGCUAAGGGAAGCAAGAUCAUCAUCACGACUCGCAUCCUUGAAGUUGCUGCCAUAAUAGGAGCUUUGCCAUAUCAUUUGAGGGAAUUGUCCUCUAAGAAUUGUAUAAGUUUAUUGGCCUUUCAUGCUCUUGGAGCAACAAAUUUUGAGAGCCACCCGGCCUUUGAAAUGAUAGGCAAGAAAAUAGCGAAAAGAUGUAAAGGUUUACCUUUCGCAGCGAAGUUGUUCGGCGGUGUUCUACGUACUAAAAAAACUCCCGAGGAAUGGCAAGAUACCUUAAAUAACAAAAUAUGGAAUCUUGUGAUGGCAAAGAAUGAUGAGGUUCUUCCAAUUUUAAAAUUGAGCUAUGUCCAUCUUCCUUCCCAUUUGAAGAGGUGUUUUGCUUAUUGUGCGGUAUUUCCUAAGGAUUACGAAAUUGAGAGGGACGAGUUGGUACUCUUAUGGAUAGCAGAGGGAUUGUUACAUGGACAAAAAACAAAUGAUAAUAUCUUGAAAUUGGGACGGAAUCACUUUGAUGAGUUAGUAUCCAGGUCGAUUCUUCAACAAUCAAGUAUGGACGCAUCUAAGUUUUCAAUGCAUGAUCUUUUGAAUGAUCUAGCAAAGUCAAUUGCAAGAAAGACUUGCUUUAGCUCGGGGAGCUCUCAGGUGGCAAGUAAUGAACAUGAUGUACCAUCUCUUGAAAAAACUCGUUAUGCAUCAUUCAUCCCAUUGUGGCAUAUUGCAUCAGAAUGCCUAAAACCAUAUCAAGGAAUGAAGGCACUAAGAAGUUUAAUUCUAGUGCGUGAUGGAUCUAGUAAGAGGUCUUUCUCUAUUUCCAACGUGGCAGUGCAUGACUUGCUAACAAACUUGGAGUACUUGAGAGUAUUCUCAUUAUGUCAUUGUGAUAUCGUAGAGGUACCGAAUUGUGUUGAUGAUUUAAAACAUCUUCGAUAUCUCAAUUUCUCAUACACUCAUAUCAAGAGGCUACCUGAGUCAAUUAGUGCCUUGUGCAAAUUACAAGCUCUAAUUUUAAGAGGUUGUUAUGAGCUUUCAAAGUUGCCUCAAGGUAUCACAGAGUUAGUCAGCUUAUAGUUUCUUGAUAUUAGAGAUACAGUGAGUCUAAAAGAGAUGCCGUUGGGUAUCGGUAAUUUAAAGAAUCUUAUUAUCUUGUCCAAAUUUGUGGUAGGACAAGAGAAAGGGUCGCAAUUGAAAGAGUUAAAGAACUUGCCACAUCUUGAAGGACAAUUAUUCAUAUCAGAAUUGCAAAAGGUGGAAAAAGUUAUAGAUGCAGCCGAUGCUAAUUUGCUUCAAAAGGUAGACCUUGCCAACUUAUCUUUGCACUGGGAUAAACAUGUGCAAAAUCUCCAUAAUCAUGAGCUUGAAGCACAAGUGCUUGACUUUCUACAACCUCACACUAAUCUUAAAACUCUCACUAUUUUGAACUAUGGUGGUGCAAGAUUUCCAUCAUGGUUAGAUUGUACGUAUUCUAAAAUAGUGUCUUUAUGCUUGUGGGAUUGUCCUAAUGUUGUGUCGCUGCCUAUGAUUGGACAACUACCUUCACUUAAGGAAUUAUCUCUUAAAGGUCUAGAUGCAAUAAGAAGGUUAGACUCUGAAUUCUAUGGAGGCAAGAUGCCUUUUUCAUCAUUAACAACUUUGAAGUUCAAAGAGAUGUCGACAUGGAGGGAUUGGUCUCCUUAUGUCGAGGGCCCAGAAGAAGAAGUUUCAUUCUUCCGUCUUAUGUAUCUUGUUGUCCGGGGCUGUCCUCUGUUGGUCGGGACAUUACCUUAUCGACUUGAUCAUCUCAUAAAGCUUGAAAUUUAUUCAUGUCCGCUUUUGAAAAACUCAACCAAUGAUGUUUGCCUUCCAUCUCUCCGUGAGUUGUUCCUUGAGGAUUGUAACAAGGAGAUCUUGAAGAGCUUGGUCAACCUAACUUCUUUGACCAUUCUUACAAUUGAGAAUCUUGCAGAGCUUGUUUGCUUUGAUCAUGGGUUUAUGAGCCACUUGAUCAAGCUAAAGGAGCUUCAUAUAGAAGGGUGUGACCAGUUAAAAUACUUGUGGCAAGAUGGAAAUGAAAUGCUAAAUCUCACUUGUCUCCAGGAAUUAACCAUCGUAAGUUGUCCUCAGUUCACAUCAUUCGUGCCGAGAGAAAGAGAAAUAGAGCUGCCGUGCAACCUUGAAAAGAUGGAAUUGAUUAAUUGCGCCAAUUUAGAAAAGCUUCCAAGCAAGAUGUACACACUUAGUUAUUUAUCUAUUAGAGAGUGUCCAAAGCUCAUAAGACCAACCAUUUCUUCAUAUGACCCCAACAGCAACAACCCGAUGCCUCAACUUCAAUCUUCAUGCACAAGUAAAUGUGAUUCUCUGACAUCUUUUCCCUUAGCCAAAGGCAGACUUGCUACUUUAAAGGAAGUUUCUAUUCAAGUGUGCAAGGGAGUGGAGUCGUUGGAAGAGAUCAUUGUAGAAUCGCUCGAAUCUAUGACAAUUAUCAGUUGUGAGAAUCUAAGAAGCCUACCGCAAUGCCUUCACACAUUUUCCCAUCUCACUCGCUUGAAUAUAAGUUACUGUCCAACACUGGAGAUAGAGGACUUACCCGCCCUUCCCCUCACCCUAUUAAUUCUCAUGCUUGAGAGAUGUUCAAAGAUAAAAUCUAUUGCCAGCUUUGGUAAUCUCACUAUUUUGGAAAUAAGGGUGUGUCCAGCAUUGGAGAUAGAGAAUUUCCCUCCCCUACCCAUAACCUUGUCUUCUCUUACACUUGAGGAUUGUCCGAAGCUAAAUUCACUGCCAAAUCGCUGGCGUCAUCUUACAUCCCUCUUGUACAUAUGUAUUUUACAUUGCCAAAAUAUCAAAUGCUUGCCCAAAGAGGUUUGCCUCCCAAUUUAGAGACCCUCGCUAUUUAUGGGUGCGAGAAUCUGGAGCCAGAGCCAGUGAGAGAAUGGGGCUUUCACCGGCUCACGUCCCUCACGACUCUAAAAAUUGAUGGAAGAAUCAUGAGAGGGGAGGGAGAGAAGGUGCGGUUUCCUUCGGGGGACGAGGACGAGGACGAGGAGGAUGCGUGGCGUCUUCUCUAUCCUUCCUCUCUAACAUAUCUUUAUAUAGCAAAUAUGAGGAACGUGGAAAGAUUAUCACGCGGUCUUCGGAACCAUCUCUCCUCUCUCCAAGAGUUAACAAUUGAAGAUUGCCCGAAGUUGAGGGACUUGCCAGAGGAUGGCCUCCCUCCCUCCCUCCAACUAUUGUAUAUAAAAAGAUGCAAGAUUCUGAAAGAUCGAUGCUCAAAACACACCGGCGACUAUUGGCCCCUCAUCCAAGACAUCCCUCUCAUCGUCAUUGAUCUCCAUCAGAUCCAAUAAAUUGAUUCGUCCUGCCGGUCAGGUUUUCUAGGGUUCAGGUAAGCUUAUGGUUUCGAAGGCAUCGAUUUCCCGUUCUGCUUCCUCAACUCGAUGCUCAAUACAAAUCGAUACUUUCCCAUGUAGAUGUUUCACGUAACUUUCUGGAAGUCCGAGAAAUCCCUAACAUAUGCAUUGAUUGGGUUCGGAUCCAAUGAAGUGAGAUCGAUCCGCUUUCGCUUUCAUUUGCCAAAUGCCGCGAUUCAUCCUUCGAUGUGCAGUCAGUUUUCUUGCGGUUAGGGUAAGUUUCUCGGUCUUGAAUGCAUCAAUUUCGCUUCUGUUCUUCAGUUCGAUGCUUUAUGCGAAUUAAUUUUUUCCCAUGGCAAAGUGUCAAAUGGAAUUUCCAGAAACUGCUGUAUCGUGAAAUACAACUAAAAUUCAGGGCUGAAAGAAUGAUAUUUAGUUGCUUGAAUCCCAUCGAGAGCUUCCUUUAGUCUCCAAUUGCACUGCUUGCGGAAGUUGAUGAUAUUCUUGUAUGCCACUGCAGCAUCCAUCUCAUCUACUGCGUUGGGCCUGCUUUUCUCUUCAGUCACUGCAAUGCACUUUCGAACAGCAAGUGAUUCAGCCUCCUCUGCAGGCAUGCAUCUCCUCUGUUUCAUUUCCGGCCUCAAUCCCAACAAAGGCAUGUUAUGUAAGACCCGUCUUAGUUAAUCUUCACAAAACCUAGCUCAGGUUUACUCCAGGCACCGUGCCUUUCAUCCACCCGAUCAUGACUCUGCUUCCAUUUUUACUGGAACACACUUCAAAAAAGAGCUUUUUUGACCUGUGCAAGUGAUAGUUUUUAGUAUCUGGUGAUUUAAGGCUAAAAGUUACUAUAUUUUGUUUCCAGAUAUACCAACAGGUCUAGGCAAUCAUUCCUAGGAGUCAUUAAGCAUACAAAUGAGUCGCCAUCACUAGUGGUUGGUGGUCUCCCAUAUUUGUGAGUUAACAAAUCACAAGAAUUUUUCAAUGAAAAAAACAAAUAGAAAAUCAUCAAGAGGGUAUCCCAGUUCAUUUUUCAUUGCUGUGAAUUGGGUAUGCAUAUAAUUUUGUUCUGAUCACUCUACGCAUGAAAGGUAAUUUUUAUUCAGGACUAAUUGCUUUGUCUUGUUUCAGAUUUUUGGCUGAGAAACAUGAGGGAUGUGGAAAGACUAUCAACUGUGGACGAUGUAACAAGCGUGGAGUAUUCUGUUUCCUUCGUCUCUACAUCUCUUUGGAUGAGAACUAUGAGGAAUGUGGAAAGAUUAUCAAGUGAUCUUCACAGCUAUCUCUCCAUUCUCGAAUGGCUACAUUUUAUGGGUACUGGAACUUGCCAGAGGAUGGCUUCUUUCCCUCCUCCAAGUAUUCGGCACAAUGCAAUUUCAAAUUCUGAAAGAUUGAUGCUCAAAACUCAGUGGUGACUAUUAGCACCUCAUCCAAGAUAUCCAGCUCAUCGUAGUUGAUCGAGUUCGGGUAAUAUAAGAAGAUAUCUCUCCAAUGUCUAAUUUUUGUCCUUCAGGUAAUGAUUCGGACUUCCUUUCUUUCUUGCACACUCGUCAUUUAGCUACUGUUGCUGCUGCAGGAUCCAUGUCUAUUCUGAAAUCGUCAACUCAAUACUAAAAAGUUCAAGUUAUUCAAUGGACGAGCUUCACCUAAAUUUCCACAAACCAGAUACCGAAGGUCCAACAUUGACAUUUAGGUUGCUCUGUUUUGUUUAACAAGGAAGUACGCAAUGAAAUGGUUAAAAUGCUUGCAUUGUACAGCGAGUCAACCAUUGUUUUAUACAAGUGACUAUUCCUCAAAACAAAUAAUACUUGCAUGGAUUUGCUCACAGUGCUGGAAUUAUGAUGCGUGGAUGUGCCUGUUUGAUGUUAUAUUUUGAACUUUUUUCAUUCCCAAAACUUGUUUAUCUUUUCACUCAUGCAAAUGCACUAUGCUUUGCGUGAGAAUCAUGAAGAAUUGUUGCUUUUAUAUUGAUAUUUUUUUUGUAAUUUCAGCGUUUGUUGUAUUUUCUCUUCCAAAUAUCUUCUUUUUUAUGCUCUAGCUUAGUGACCUGAAUUAUCUCUACUGUGCUUGUUGGGCAAAACAUCCCA